This 491-nucleotide ribosomal RNA is filed under the name uncultured bacterium. RNAcentral's name for it is "partial 16S ribosomal RNA". It matches the Rfam family "Bacterial small subunit ribosomal RNA", at positions 29 to 507 of the family's 1533-position model. The record is from RNAcentral.
GUGAACGCUGGCGGUAGGCCUAACACAUGCAAGUCGCACGGCAGCACAGUAAGAGCUUGCUCUUACGGGUGGCGAGUGGCGGACGGGUGAGGAAUACAUCGGAAUCUACUUUUUCGUGGGGGAUAACGUAGGGAAACUUACGCUAAUACCGCAUACGACCUACGGGUGAAAGCAGGGGAUCUUCGGACCUUGCGCGAUUGAAUGAGCCGAUGUCGGAUUAGCUAGUUGGCGGGGUAAAGGCCCACCAAGGCGACGAUCCGUAGCUGGUCUGAGAGGAUGAUCAGCCACACUGGAACUGAGACACGGUCCAGACUCCUACGGGAGGCAGCAGUGGGGAAUAUUGGACAAUGGGCGCAAGCCUGAUCCAGCCAUACCGCGUGGGUGAAGAAGGCCUUCGGGUUGUAAAGCCCUUUUGUUGGGAAAGAAAAGCAGCAGGCUAAUACCCCGCUGUUCUGACGGUACCCAAAGAAUAAGCACCGGCUAACUUCGUG